RNAcentral lists this ribosomal RNA (433 nucleotides) under uncultured bacterium. RNAcentral describes it as "partial 16S ribosomal RNA". It matches the Rfam family "Bacterial small subunit ribosomal RNA", at positions 29 to 507 of the family's 1533-position model. The record is from RNAcentral.
AACGAACGCUGGCGGCAUGCCUAACACAUGCAAGUCGAACGACACCUCCGUGUCUAGUGGCGCACGCGUGCGUAAAGCGUCGGACCCGGCCCUUAUGCUCUGAAUAACUCCCCGACAUGGGUGCUAAUACCGGAUAAUGUCUUCGGACCAAAGAUUUAUCGCCUUUGGAUGGGCCCGCGUUGUAUUAGCUAGGUGGUAGGGUAAAAGCCGACGAAGGCGACGAUCAAUAGCUGGUCUGAGAGGAUGAGCAGCCACACUGGGACUGAGACACGGUCCAGACUACUACGGGAGGCAGCAGUGGGGAAUAUUGGACAAUGGGCGAAAGCCUGAUCCAGCAAUGCCGCGUGAGUGAUGAAGGCCUUAGGGUUGUAAAGCUCGUUUACACGGGAUGAUAAUGACAGUACCGAGAGAAUAAGCUCCGGCUAACUCCGUG